AUACGUAGGUGGCAAGCGUUAUCCGGAUUCACUGGGCGUAAAGCGCGCGUAGGUGGUCCUUCAAGUCAGAUGUGAAAUCUCCCGGCUUAACCGGGAGGGGCCAUCUGAUACUGCUGGACUCGAGGGUGGUAGAAGAAGAUGGAAUUCCCGGUGUAGUGGUGAAAUGCGUAGAUAUCGGGAGGAACACCAGUGGCGAAAGCGGUCUUCUAGGCCAUACCUGACACUGAGGCGCGAAAGCGUGGGGAGCGAACAGGAUUAGAUACCCUGGUAGUCCACGCCAUAAACGGUGGAAACUAGGUACAGGGAGUAUCGACCCUUCCUGCGCCGUAGCUAACGCGUUAAGUUUCCCGCCUGGGGACUACGGUCGCAAGACUAAA
Molecule: ribosomal RNA, 377 nt
Filed under: uncultured bacterium
Lineage: Bacteria
Description: bacterial SSU rRNA
Rfam family: Bacterial small subunit ribosomal RNA
Source: RNAcentral